GAGGAGUGUGCCCACCUUUUAUACCUGUGGGCGGGGAUUCAGGAAUACCACCUGGAGUUGCUGUGACCACUCUAGAAUAUUACCCCCAUCCAUCCUCAACUUGGGAAAGUCAGCAGGCGGAAGAGCGCAUGCGCGAAGUCCAUUUCAGCUCUGCCGUCGUCGUGGAAGGAUCUAUUUAUCGCGGCUC
This is a non-coding RNA of Pantherophis guttatus, 187 nucleotides long. Lineage: Eukaryota; Metazoa; Chordata; Lepidosauria; Squamata; Colubridae. The record is from RefSeq and is a predicted model, not a curated record.